This 4210-nucleotide long non-coding RNA is filed under the name Malus domestica (apple). Its description in RNAcentral is "long non-coding RNA (MDOM_LNC006605)". The record is from RNAcentral. Lineage: Eukaryota; Viridiplantae; Streptophyta; Magnoliopsida; Rosales; Rosaceae.
UCAGCUUUGCGGAAAUCAAGGGUAAUUUGUCGAAGCGCCGAUCCCAGAUAUCGAAGAGGCGCCAGUCUUUUUCAGCCACGUCAACACCUGUCAUGUGCACACUCAGCUUGGCGAAAAUUACGGACAAUUUGUCGAAGAUUUCUGAUGAAGAAAAAAGCACGUGAAGCCAUACUGAUCAAUCACUCAAUGGUUGCCGACACGAGUGAAAGAAUAGUACCUCUACAGGUAUUAAAGAACUUCCUAUAAUUGUCCACCUUCACCAUCCAUAGCAAGGCAGACAUACAGAACCUUUCUUCAUCUCCGAGAAUGCCUUCCCAACGAAGCCUCUCGAGUCACUCAGUGUUCCUUAUUCCUUGGGGUACCUCUGCAAACAAAUGAUACCAAAGCAAAAGUAUCUCAUAUCACCAGGGUAGAAAGCAAGAGUAUCUCAUAUCAUGCUUUAUCCCUGUCCUUUCCUUUUUCCUUGUUCUUACCUGCAAAGACAAGGAUAAAGAAAGUAAUAUGCCGGAAACUCCACUUAAACUCGGGUAAGGAAUCGACUACCUGCAACAUUUGCCUGGUUGCUUACUUGGCAUUGCUCUCGAGUACUCGUCUUCAACUGCUGAUGUACUUCCAAAGAAAAUGCCACAUUUGCCUGGAGAACAGAUAAGGCAAGUGAAAAUGAUACCUUGCAGCAUGUGGAGAUAACGUGCAGAAGGAACAAGUAGAGAAGAAUGCGGCCUACACAGUUAACUCAGCAGAAGGAGUCUGAGUUGAGGAACUCAAGAAGCUGCCACAUCUGCCUGGAGAACAAAUAAGGAAAUGCGGCAUGCAUAUCAACUCAGCAGAAGGAGUCCGAGUUGAAGAAUUAAAUAGAAGAAGGGGUCUAAGUUGAAUCCAAGAGCUCGAAAAGCUUCAACAACAUAUUGACGGCACCAUCGCCGAAGAACAAAGCCUCGCUGUGCAACGCUGUCAAAUCGCCACCACUUCUUCGAAAGCAAGAGUAUUUCAUAUCAUGCUCUCUCCCUGUCCUUUUCUUUCUCCUUGUUCUUACCUAUGAGACAAGGAGAAAGAAAGCAAUCAGCCAGCACUUGGUAUCAAUCUUCCGAUCUGGAACCGACUGCUUGGAACCCUUCCCUGAUUGCUUACCUAGCACUACUCUCGAGUACUCGUCUUCCACUGCUGCUGUACUUCCAAAGAAGCUGCCACAUAUGCCUGGAGAACAGAUAAGGCAAGUGAAAAUGAUACCUUGCAACAUGUGGAGACAACGUGCAGAAGAAACAAGCAGAGAAGAAUGCAGCCUGCACAGUUAACUCAGCAGAAGGAGUCUGAGCUGAGGAACUCGAGAAGAUGCCACAUUCUGCCAGAAAAAUAGAUAAGGCAAGGGAAAAUAAUACAUUAAAGCAUAUGGAGACAAGCACAACAAAGCACGUCCUGAUUCAUCCGCUACUUCUUCAAAAUCAAAAGUAUCUCAUAUCAUCAGGGUUGCAAUCACUCUGGGUGGAGGACUCAUUUUGACCCUUAAAUUCUUGGGUCGACUUGCUAGGCGUUGUGGGCUGCACGUGCCGAUUCACCACCGUUGAAUUAAAUCCUUAAAGAUCAAGUCACCAACUGGAAGAAGAACCCAUCAAUCUUGAAGAUCAUACCGUUAACCAAACUGCUCAGGUGUGAAUUAGAAAGAUUGAACAAAGCAACAAGUCGUCACAUUCACCUCGUGCUUGCUUGCCAUGUGUUCGGGUCAACCUUCAAGAAUCAAGCCUCAACGGCCCUUGAAGAAACUUCCGGUCAAGUUCAAGAUCAAGCCUCGACGGCCCUUGAGGAAAUCACAAGUCUGAUUCAAAAUCAAGCGUCCACCACCCUUAAAUAAAAUCCAGUUCAAGAAUAAGCUGAGGAAAGUCAAUAAUUGGAGGAAUCCAGAAAAUCCUCCAACCUAGUUCAAGAUCAAAGUUGUGGAAAGUCAACAAGCGUAAAAACAAAUACGUGCCAAUUCAUCCACUACCAAAGCCAAAGAUCAACUACCACACGAAGCUCCUUGUGGUCCAAUUUCAACCUUCAAGAUCAAGCCUCGACGGCCUUUGAAGAAAUUUUCAGCCCAAUUCAAGAUCAAGCCUGAAUGGCCCUUGAAGAAAUCUCAAGCCCAAUUCAAGAUCAAGCCUCAAUGGCCCUUGGAUCGACAUCUACAUUAAGGGACUUUAAAAACGCAUUUCCUACACGUGACAAGCACAUGUAUACGACACGCCUUGAAGUGGGGGCAGUUGUAGACAUCGAAAUUUUGGUAAAUAAAUGUUGACCGAUAAAUCAAAAUUUCAACGUUCGCGUGUCACAUAAAUUUUACAUGUAGCGUGUGACUCAACGAAAAAUCGAAAAGAGUCGGAAAAGUCAUCAAACAUGACACGUGUCAACACCUGGCAGAAACAAAUUAUUUCAUCUGGAAUAUUAUAUUCAAAAUUAGGCCUUGAAAAUUUCUAUAAAUAGAAGGCUAAUUCAUUCAUUUAGGGGAACAAAUUCAUAACCAAUUCACAUUACACUAAAACCCUGAAGCUCUGAAACUCUAAAGCUCCCAAGCAAAUCCCGAAGGAUCAAGAAAGCUCUCUUCGUUCUUCGUCAACUCAACCUUCAAAAUCAAGCCUCAACGGCCCUUCGAAGGAACUUCCACCAAUUCAAGAUCAAGCCCUGACGGCCCUUGAAGAAAGUGUUCAUCGUUCAUCAUCCGUUCAUCCUAAGAUCAAGCCCCAACGGCCCUUUGAAUCAACAACAUCAACAAAUCCACACAUCCAACCGUUCUUCAAGAUAAAUCCCAAAAGCCCUUGAAGAUCCGUUCAUCAACAGUUCUUCAAGAUCAAGCCCAAAAGCCCCUUGAAAGAUCCGUUCAUCCAUCAAACCUUCAAGAUCAAGCCCAAAAGGCCCCUUUGAAGAAACUUCCAACCAUUCAUCCGAGAUCAAGCCUCGACGGCCCUUGGAUCAGCAUCACAAUCCACAAAUCAACACUUUACGGAGAUCGAAUCAGAGGAUCAAAUUUGAGAGAGAUUGUAACCCAAAAUCAUCAAAUACAAAUAUUAUUUUGUACACGUUGUUCUUGUCUCGUUCUUGUUUCAGGAAUUUCUGUGUUCACAGAAACAUAGGAAGCAUUGAAGAAGGAAGUGAAAGGUCUAUAAAUACAAGUAAAGAUGUUAGAACAAAAGACACUCAAAUCAUUCAACAAAACAGACUGCAAGCUUAACAACUAAAGCUCUCUGCCUUUACUUUGAAACCAACACCUUAGAACUCUACGGAACCUUCCUUUAGACUCUAAGACCAAUUAGAAUUUGAUUUGUUACCAUCUCAUUGUGUAAUAUCGAUUUACCAUUCAAUAUAUAGGUUUAUCUCUUUGGUUGAGAUCCUUUACAAGGAAGCAUCUUUAACUCAAUCUGACAACCUUGAAUCCAAUCCGAUAAGAGUUUUUAUCAUAUGUUUUAAGUUCAUUUAUGUAUAAACUUGUUUUGUGAUAUUUAGUAUUUUUAAUAUCAAUUUCAGUUAUGUACUUAAUACUUAUGUUACUUAGUGUCUUCACCUUUUCUGUUGUGAAUGAUUGAAGUAGUGUAUUUGAAUAUAACCAGUUUAUAUUCAAUCCCAUCUCAGUAGUUUCUAGUCUAAUACUGAGACAUAAUUAAAGCUUUUAACAUGCAAGGCAUCAGAAAGAACCAAACUAAAGCCAAACAUUGGCACAACGAGUUUUGACAAAGAAGUUUUAUUUACUUGUGGCUCAAGUAUCACAUAUACAUAUACUCUAUUGUAAAUACAACAUAUUAUUUUGUUUUAUGGCAGAAGCCAACGGUGGCAUGCCUUACAAACAACAAAUCAAAUGAUUCACUAAGCCUCUUUGAAGGCCAAAGAGUGAAGCCUAUAAAAACUGAGAAGCAAAUUACUCAAUGAGCCAUCGUGUUUGUUUUUCACGAGAACAAAAACUUUUACUGUGUGAAGAAAUGAAAUUUGUAGAGCAUGUGGAGUUUUUCACAUCUCCAAGGUUGAGAUAAAAAUACGAUGAUUAUGUUGUCAUAUUGUAAAUUUGGACCAUUGAUUUUAUAUUAAUAUACGUUAUAUAUGCUCACGGUAUGUAAUCACCUGUCUAGUACGUAGUAUAUAUAGAUGAUCAAAAUAAUAUUAUCAUAUUAUAUUCAAGUGUAUUUCCUUAUUUUUAUUUCCUUUUGUAUUACAUGGUCCAUACUUGAGGCACCUAACGGAGUAGGCUUGG